UGGGAGAAGUGCAUCGGAAACGAGGAUAACUUGAGUGCAGAAGAGGGGUAGGGCAUCUCCCAUGUGUAGCGGGUAGAAUUGCGUAGAUAUCAGGAAGACCCCCAGUGGCGAAGGCGGGUUACCUGGUCCUGCAAUUGACGCUGAGACUCGAAAGCAUGGGUAGAGACACAGGAUUAGAUACCUGGGUAGUCCAUGCCGUAAACGAUGAGUGCUAGGUGUCGGAGGGUUUCCGCCCUUCAGUGCCCGAGCUAAGCGCAUUAAGCUCUCCGCCUGGGGAGUACGUCCGCAGGGUUGAAACUCAAAGGAAUUGACGGGGGCCCGCCAAAGCGGUGGAGCAUGUGGUUUAAUUGGAACAUACGCGAAGAACCUUACCAGGUCUGGACAUCUUGCGCCAACCCUAGAGAUAGGGCGUUUCCUUCGGGAACGCAAUGACCGGUGGUGCAUGGUCGUCGUCAGCUCGUGUCGUGAGAUGUUGGGUUAAGUCCCCCAACGAGCGCCACCCCUUGGUUCUAGUUUCCAGCCUUAAGUUGGGCACUUUAUUGAGACUGCCGGCGACAAACCGGGAGAAGGUGGGGAAGAUCUCAGAUCAUCAUGCCCCUUAUGACCUUGGCUACACACGCAUACAAUGGACGGUACAACGAGUCGCCAACUCCAGGGGGCAAGCAAAUAUCUUCAAACCGAUUUCAGUUCGGGAUGCAGGCUGCAAAUUGCCUGCCAGAAGUCGGAAUCGUUAGUAAUCGCGGAUCAGCAUUUCCAAGUGAAUUCGUUCCCGGGCCUUCUACACACCUCCCGUUUACUCAUGCGAGUUUCUAACACCCAAAAUCAAAGGCAUUAACUUUCAAGACCCAGCCAACCUAAGGUGGCACAGAGUCUAGGUUGCAGUCUAGCACGUGCAUGUCC
RNAcentral lists this ribosomal RNA (900 nucleotides) under Limosilactobacillus fermentum. RNAcentral describes it as "bacterial SSU rRNA". It matches the Rfam family "Bacterial small subunit ribosomal RNA", at positions 613 to 1533 of the family's 1533-position model. Lineage: Bacteria; Bacillati; Bacillota; Bacilli; Lactobacillales; Lactobacillaceae. The record is from RNAcentral.